RNAcentral lists this ribosomal RNA (433 nucleotides) under uncultured bacterium. Its description in RNAcentral is "partial 16S ribosomal RNA". It matches the Rfam family "Bacterial small subunit ribosomal RNA", at positions 29 to 507 of the family's 1533-position model. The record is from RNAcentral.
AACGAACGCUGGCGGCAUGCCUAACACAUGCAAGUCGAACGAGAGCUUCGGGUCUACUUGCGCACGCGUGCGUCACGCGUGGGAAUCUGGCCUUGGGUUCGGGAUUACAGUUGGAAACGGCUGCUAAUACCGGAUGAUGUAGUAAAUCAACAGAUUGAUCGACCAGGUUUGAGCCCGGGUAGUUUUAGCUUGUGGGGGGCGUAAAGGCCUACCAAGGCGACGAUCCUUAGCUGGUCAGAGAGGAUGAUACGCCACACUUGGACGGAGACACGGGCCGGAGUAUUGCGCGAGGCGGGAGAGCGGAAUACUGGACUACGGGCUGAAGCAUGAUCCAGCAAUGCCGCGUGAGUGAUUAUGGUCGUAGGGUAGUACAGCUCGUUUAUCCGCGACGAUAAUGACGGUACCGGGAGAAUAAGCACCGGCUAACUCCGUG